This is a long non-coding RNA of Ornithorhynchus anatinus (platypus), 372 nucleotides long. RefSeq lists it as uncharacterized. The record is from RefSeq and is a predicted model, not a curated record. The transcript is spliced from 2 exons. Lineage: Eukaryota; Metazoa; Chordata; Mammalia; Monotremata; Ornithorhynchidae.
GACCAGGUCAACGUGUCCCAGUCUUCGGCUCCCUCCCUUGUGGCCUCUCAGCUCCGGGCCACAGCUGUCGUGUCAUCGUCAUGAGGCUCGCUUACCUUCUCCUACUGCUUGUGGCCGUGUUGUUCCAAGCUGGGGGCGGAUCAGCCAAACCCAUAAUGUUCUUCGAAAUGCAAGCCUGCUGGUCCCACAGCGGCGUCUGCAGAGACAAGAGUGAAAGGAAUUGCAAGCCGAUGGCGUGGACCUACUGUGAAAACCGGAACCAGAAAUGCUGCGAGUACUAGCCAUGUCGACCGCAGUUGCCAGGGGUCGCACGGGGAGUGCGGUGGGGCCACCCCCUCCCUAUACCCUGCUAAAUAAAGGCAAUCAAACGCA